CACAAGCUUUCCGUAGGUGAACCUGCGGAAGGAUCAUUGUCGUGACCCUGACCAAAACAGACUGCGCACGCGUCAUCCAAUCCGUCGGCGACGGCACCGUCCGUCGCUCGGCCAAUGCCUCGACCACCUCCCCUCCUCGGAGCGGGUGGGGGCUCGGGGUAAAACAACCCACGGCGCCGAAGGCGUCAAGGAACACUGUGCCUAACCCGGGGGCAUGUCUAGCUUGCUAGCCGUCCCUCGUGUUGCAAAGCUAUUUAAUCCACACGACUCUCGGCAACGGAUAUCUCGGCUCUCGCAUCGAUGAAGAACGUAGCGAAAUGCGAUACCUGGUGUGAAUUGCAGAAUCCCGCGAACCAUCGAGUCUUUGAACGCAAGUUGCGCCCGAGGCCACUCGGCCGAGGGCACGCCUGCCUGGGCGUCACGCCAAAACACGCUCCCAACCACUCUCAACGGGAAUCGGGAUGCGGCAUCUGGUCCCUCGUCUCUCAAGGGACGGUGGACCGAAGAUUGGGCUGCCGGCGUACCGCGCCGGACACAGCGCAUGGUGGGCGUCCUCGCUUUAUCAAUGCAGUGCAUCCGGCGCGCAGCUGGCAUUAUGGCCUUUGAACGACCCAACAAACGAAGCGCACGUCGCUUCGACCGCGACCCCAGGUCAGGCGGGACUACCCGCUGAGUUUAAGCAUAUCAAUAAGCGGAGGAGGAUCCGUG
This 708-nucleotide ribosomal RNA is filed under the name uncultured fungus. RNAcentral describes it as "eukaryotic LSU rRNA". The stretch from base 266 to 421 matches the Rfam family "5.8S ribosomal RNA". Lineage: Eukaryota; Fungi. The record is from RNAcentral.